Molecule: ribosomal RNA, 497 nt
Filed under: uncultured bacterium
Lineage: Bacteria
Description: partial 16S ribosomal RNA
Rfam family: Bacterial small subunit ribosomal RNA
Source: RNAcentral
GAUGAACGCUGGCGGCGUGCCUAAUACAUGCAAGUCGAGCGAACAGACGAGGAGCUUGCUCCUCUGACGUUAGCGGCGGACGGGUGAGUAACACGUGGAUAACCUACCUAUAAGACUGGGAUAACUUCGGGAAACCGGAGCUAAUACCGGAUAAUAUAUUGAACCGCAUGGUUCAAUAGUGAAAGACGGUUUUGCUGUCACUUAUAGAUGGAUCCGCGCCGCAUUAGCUAGUUGGUAAGGUAACGGCUCACCAAGGCAACGAUGCGUAGCCGACCUGAGAGGGUGAUCGGCCACACUGGAACUGAGACACGGUCCAGACUCCUACGGGAGGCAGCAGUAGGGAUUCUUCCGCAAUGGGCGAAAGCCUGACGGAGCAACGCCGCGUGAGUGAUGAAGGUCUUCGGAUCGUAAAACUCUGUUAUUAGGGAAGAACAAAUGUGUAAGUAACUAUGCACGUCUUGACGGUACCUAAUCAGAAAGCCACGGCUAACUACGUG